RNAcentral lists this ribosomal RNA (505 nucleotides) under Cervidellus vexilliger. RNAcentral describes it as "SSU rRNA". It matches the Rfam family "Eukaryotic small subunit ribosomal RNA", at positions 88 to 590 of the family's 1831-position model. Lineage: Eukaryota; Metazoa; Nematoda; Chromadorea; Rhabditida; Cephalobidae. The record is from RNAcentral.
CGCGAAGGGCUCAUUAUAACAGCUAUCAUUUACUUGAUCUUGACACAAUCCUACUUGGAUAACUGUGGUAAUUCUAGAGCUAAUACAUGCAUUAAAGCUCUGACCGCAAGGGAAGAGUGCACUUAUUAGAACAAAACCAAGCGGCUUCGGCUGUUUUCGGUUGACUCAUAGUAACUGAGCUGAUCGCACGGUCUUGCACCGGCGACGUGUCUUUCAAGUAUCUGCCGUAUCAACUUUCGAUGGCAGUGUAUCUGACUACCAUGGUGAUCACGCGUAACGGAGAAUAAGGGUUCGGCUCCGGAGAGUUCGCCUGAGAAAUCGCGAACACAUCUAAGGAAGGCAGCAGGCGCGAAAAUUACCCACUCUCAGCACGAGGAGGUAGUGACGAAAAAUAACGAGACCGUUCUCUUAUGAGGCCGGUCAUCGGAAUGGGUACAAUUUAAACCCUUUAACGAGUAUCUAUGAGAGGGCAAGUCUGGUGCCAGCAGCCGCGGUAAUUCCAGCU